CAUGUAGGCGGAUUAAUAAGUUUGAAGUGAAAUCCUAUAGCUUAACUAUAGAACUGCUUUGAAAGCUGUUAAUCUAGAAUGUGGGAGAGGUAGAUGGAAUUUCUGGUGUAGGGUAAAAUCCGUAGAGAUCAGAAGGAAUACCGAUUGCGAAGGCGAUCUACUGGAACAUUAUUGACGCUGAGAUGCGAAAGCGUGGGGAGCAAACA
RNAcentral lists this ribosomal RNA (206 nucleotides) under uncultured bacterium. RNAcentral's name for it is "partial 16S ribosomal RNA". It matches the Rfam family "Bacterial small subunit ribosomal RNA", at positions 568 to 774 of the family's 1533-position model. The record is from RNAcentral.